AUUUUGGCCACAUCUCGGAGUACCACAGUGGUUUCUUAAAUUUUUUGCUUUUACUGACAAGCCAAAAAAUUCAAGAAACCACUGUGGUACUCCGCAGAUGUGGCCAAAAU
Molecule: non-coding RNA, 110 nt
Organism: Pelobates cultripes (western spadefoot toad)
Lineage: Eukaryota; Metazoa; Chordata; Amphibia; Anura; Pelobatidae
Source: the annotation of a GenBank genome assembly